Molecule: ribosomal RNA, 66 nt
Filed under: uncultured eukaryote
Lineage: Eukaryota
Description: partial 5.8S ribosomal RNA
Source: RNAcentral
AGGGAUCACUUGGCUCCGGAUCUGCUGUGGAACGGAGCGACGCGCGACGAGCUGCGCGAAUCUCUG